RNAcentral lists this ribosomal RNA (384 nucleotides) under Triticum aestivum (bread wheat). Its description in RNAcentral is "partial small subunit ribosomal RNA". Lineage: Eukaryota; Viridiplantae; Streptophyta; Magnoliopsida; Poales; Poaceae. The record is from RNAcentral.
AUGGUGUGCGCGCCGGAGAGGAUGACCAGGUCCUCCGUGUUGAGGCCCUUGACGACGAAGCUGUCGACGAGGUCGCUGAGGUUGGACGCCGGUGGGACCAGAAACUUGAGCGGCUCGGAGGCGUUGGAGAAGGUGCCGUCGCGGCGGCCGGACGGCAUUUUGAAGUUUACCUUGCCCCUGCUAAGGAUGCAGGACGCGUCACGGGCCGCGAAGGCGACGAUGUCUGCGCAGGAGACGACGCCCGGGCAGGCUGCCUCGACGGCGUCCUUGAUCGCGUCAAUCAGCUCGAAGCCGCGCAGGGAAGGGUCGUUCGGCGGGCUGAGCUUCUCCGGCGUCGGGCUGAACGGGGUCGGGUCGAGGAGGACGGAAGCAUCACAGCCCUAG